This 1471-nucleotide long non-coding RNA is filed under the name Cairina moschata (Muscovy duck). RNAcentral describes it as "domestica (muscovy Duck (domestic type)) lncRNA (ENSCMMG00000003166.1)". Lineage: Eukaryota; Metazoa; Chordata; Aves; Anseriformes; Anatidae. The record is from RNAcentral.
CUGAGUGCUCCUGUCACAGACCCACAAGUGUGGGUACGGGGCUGUUACAGUGCCAUGAGGAAUGAACUGGAAAAGCUGUCCAACAGGAGGCUGCCUUUGAGAGUUUAUUUCCCUGUGAGGAAAUGGCCUUCCCCAUGCUGCUCCAUGAGGGUGUCCUUCUCUGGCCUUGUCGCCGCAGCUGCGUGCCCACAGGCUCCUGCAGACAACGUGUUUUGCUUGUUGACAUAAAAGUGCUUCUCAAGGACUGGCCAAAACAUGACCUUGAAAUUGUAAUCUUAUUAACAGAAGCUUGUAUUGGUGGUGUUUCAUUUGAUCUACUUACUCGUCUCUACAGACUUGCUUUGACAUUGCCUUUGUCUCAUCUGGACAUUACAGCAUGGCCUACAUAAUGCCUACUAAAUUUAUUUUACCACUGGCUUUAGCAUAAUACCAUCCCAUAGAGCAGGCAUGCUGUGAUCAUCAACGUGACCGUGGAAAUAAGCAGACAUAAUUGGAAAAACCUUGCUGAAAUGGCUAGCUCGUACCCUCUGCAUGUGCGCUCUCACAGGCCUGCGGCUUGGCUGGGCCUCGUGCCCUCAUGGCCACAGGUACGUGCCCUCUUUGCAAGGUCUGCACCCACCGCCUUGUCUGGGGCACCACGGCUUUCCUCAGGUGCUCAGCUGGCUGAGAGAUGUUCCCCGAGUCCAGCUUGGCUCCACGCUGAAGGAUUUUAAAGCUCAGGCUGAAAGUCGAAGGGCUUCUUCAAAUACCAGGGCUGUGACAUGGCAUCAUCCAUCUGAGGAGCUCUUCAGGUUGGGAAGUCAGGAGAAGGAGCAAAAUUUUUCUGAGUUCAUCUUUACAGGUGUGCCCAAUAAAAAUCUUGUGUAUUCCAAAAGGACUAACAAAUAACUACCACUACUGUAUUUUUGAAGAUUUUAUCUUUAACCUUGGCAUAUCACCUGUGUUCCACUGAUUUUCUUUAUCCUUUUGCUUUCUACUUAUAAUCAGAACACAGUCCUUGGUAUUUAUUUGGAUAAAUUUAGUCCUAGUAAUCUUUCUGUACUAAAUGUUUAGACAACAUUUGUUGUGACUGGUGCUUUAUGGGCCUUUGUCUGUGAAGUAGCACCAAAGCUGAGGCCCUGGUAGGCCCCAGCUGUGAAAGUGUACAAAGAAAGGAACCUGACUGAAGCUACUGAGAAAACACCUUCUUCAAAGGCAGGGAUAAAAGAAGAGUAUUUUGGGAAAUGCUGGACAUCCAUAAAUAUCAAUGUAUAUAUUAUGUCUUUUUUAUACACCACCUUCAGAACUAAGCUGCUGUCUAUUAAACGAGGCUACCGUACCUGUUAAGUCCUCAUGGGAUUUAUCCCCUUUUAGCUCCCAUAACAGUGCCUGUUAGAAAAUUUUGGAAUCUGGGUAAAUUUCUUACUCCUUGAAACUGUAAUGUGUUCUGCAAAGGAAUCUUAUUCAGCUGGCCUCCGUGGUAAUGUUGCUC